This is a long non-coding RNA of Oncorhynchus tshawytscha (Chinook salmon), 577 nucleotides long. NCBI's taxonomy places the organism in Eukaryota, Metazoa, Chordata, Actinopteri, Salmoniformes, Salmonidae. The record is from Ensembl.
CCCGCGAAUAUAGUAAUGAUGCGCGAGAAAAGGUUGUUGAGCUGCAUAAUUCAGGAAAUGGCUAUAAGAAAAUAGCCCAACGGUUGAAAAUGCCCAUUUCUGCAAUCAGGGCAAUAAUGAAGAAGGUUAAAGCAACUGGAGAUGUUACCAAUGGGCCUGGAAGAGGACGUGUGUCUAUAUUGACCCCACGCACAGUGGGGAGGAUGGUUCCAGUGGCCAAAAAAGGAUCACAGUUGAAGAAUUGUAGACGUUAGUUGGGGCGGCAGGUAGCCAAGUGGUUAGAGGGGCGUUAGGUAGUCUAGUGUUUAGUUGGGGCGGCAGGUAGCCAAGUGGUUAGAGGGGCUUUAGGUAGUCUAGUGGUUAGUUGGGGCGGCAGGUAGCCAAGUGGUUAGAGGGGCGUUAGGUAGUCUAGUGGUUAGUUGGGGCGACAGGUAGCCAAGUGGUUAGAGGGGCGUUAGGUAGUCUAGUGGUUAGUUGGGGCGACAGGUAGCCAAGUGGUUAGAGGGGCGUUAGGUAGUCUAGUGGUUAGUUGGGGCGGCAGGUAGCCAAGUGGUUAGAGGGGCGUUAGGUAGUCUAG